Long non-coding RNA from Cannabis sativa, 1520 nucleotides. RefSeq lists it as uncharacterized. The record is from RefSeq and is a predicted model, not a curated record. The transcript is spliced from 2 exons. Lineage: Eukaryota; Viridiplantae; Streptophyta; Magnoliopsida; Rosales; Cannabaceae.
AAAAAGAAGCAUAUAUAGAAACCUUUAAACAAAGAAAAAAUCCUACACUUCACCAUUCUGACGCCUCCACUACCUUCCCAAAUCUCUACCUCCUUAUCAAAUUUUUCUUACAUGAAUGAAACCUUGACUCUCUUGAAAGCUCUCUCUUCAUAUAAGAGCUUCUUGGUCUGAUUGUUGGGUACUCCAAUUAAGAGAAUCACUCUACCAUCUCUAACUGUAAGUAUAUUUUAUAAUAAAUAUCUUUUUAAUUAUUUUGAAAUGCUUUUGUCCUUUCUUAUGUCAAAUUGAUUUGUGCAAUUCUUAUGGCAUUCCAAGUAGAUUGUUUGUCCUAAUUUCAUUUUUAUGUCCUAUUUUUAUUUGGUCUUUUAGUUAUUUUUGUCAUUCUUUUUUGCUCUAUUCAUUGUCUUCCUGAAGUUAGAAAAAUUUUCAUAAUAAUAGGAAGGGAAAUCAAUGAAUACCUCACUUAAAAUAGAUAUUUUGAUAGAGUUAUUGAGAGUGAUUCAAAUUUGACGAAUAGUACUAUUAUGUUACUACCAAUGAAAAUCCUCUCUUUAUGAAAUAUGUAUAUUUAGAUAAAUAUUUUUGUUGCAUUUCAAUGUAUUCAUAUAUAUAUAAAGAAAGGAUAAAUAUAAAUUAGGAUUAAAGAUUGUUUCAAAUAUAUAUAUAAUGCAUAUAUACAAUAACAUUGGUACGUAGGAGGGUAGAUGUAGCAUCAUCAAGCAAGAUUUAUAAUUUAUACUCCUUUUCAUUAAUAAUUAAUAUUCACAAAAGAAAUAUCACAAGUCAACAAAACAAAAUAUAUAACAAUAUAUAUAUUAUUAUUUUUUGAUCAGUGAUUGAUAUUGGGAUAUUGGGAUGUACAUUACACUAUAUAUAUAAAAGUCAAUCAUUUACAAAAAAAAAAAACUAUAUAUUUAAGGCUCACUUUUAUUUUGAUUCAAAUUUAUACUAUUGCAGUUGUUAUUUUCUCAUUACUAUUACCGAGCUCUACAUAGUGAAAAUUAUAUCAUUAUUUUUUAAACUAUCUGUUAGUGUCAAGGUUGCUUUGCUUUAAUCAUAAUAAUAAAUUAUGGGACCUUUCAUAAAUUUAUUUUCUUUUGGAUAGUGAUUAAUUUGUGAAGAUUAAAAAUUCUUUGGUACUGGUUGAUGUGUUAAGUCUUCCAACUAGUGGAAGGUGCCAAUUAUUUAAAUUUGAGCUCCAAAAUUCAUCAGGCAUUGAAUGUAUCAAAUUUUUUAUAUGAUCUUUAGGCUUGGAAUUAAAUCUUCAUUGUGAAAUUAGUUAAAGUUACAUUACUAACAGAUUGAAAUGAAAAUAAAAAAAAAAAUUAUAUUCUUUGUUACUUGGUGGUCCCUGGCAUCAAUAAUCUAUAGAGAAUUAAAAAUGAGGUUACAUAUUUCAAGACAAUAGAAUGUCCUGUUUUUUACUUUCUAAUAUAUUGACUUAUGUAUAUUUAGUCUUUUAUCUAAAUGUAUGUGUAUAUAGUAUACACUAUUAUAAAUGACGAUUGUUCUUUAAUUCA